RNAcentral lists this ribosomal RNA (327 nucleotides) under uncultured eukaryote. Its description in RNAcentral is "partial 18S ribosomal RNA". It matches the Rfam family "Eukaryotic small subunit ribosomal RNA", at positions 1470 to 1796 of the family's 1831-position model. The record is from RNAcentral.
CCCUUAGAUGUUCUGGGCCGCACACGCGCUACACUGAAGGAGGCAGCGUGUACUCCUGGAUCGAAAGAUUUGGGUAACCCGCGAAUCUCCUUCGUGCUAGGGAUUGAGGUUUGCAAUUAUCCUUCAUGAACGAGGAAUUCCCAGUAAGUGCAAGUCAUAAGCUUGCGCUGACUACGUCCCUGCCCUUUGUACACACCGCCCGUCGCUACUACCGAUUGAAUGAUUUAGUGAGGACUUCGGACUGGGACCGAUGCGGUUUUCGGGCUGCGUCGGUAUUCUGGAAAGAUGUCCAAACUGUAUCAUUUAGAGGAAGUAAAAGUCGUAACA